GGCAGUUUUUGGGGUGCUGGGGGCAGUUUGUGGGUGGGGUCAGUCCGGGCUGUCCCGGGGUGACCCCUCCCUGUCCCUGUCCCCUGCGUCCCCUCCCGUCCCGCAGUGUCCCCGGCGCUGGCAGGCGCAGAGCCCUCGGUGCCGCUGUCCCGGCCCCGGCCGGGCCCCCAGGCCACCGAGGGGGCGCCCUUCAGCUGCGCGGCCGGCCGCAAGGACAAGGCCGUGGAUCCAGUGGAGUGGUCGGUGCGGGACGUGGUGGAGUAUUUCACCGAGGCCGGCUUCCCCGAGCAGGCUGGGGCCUUCCAGGAGCAGGAGAUCGACGGCAAGUCGCUGCUGCUGAUGCAGAGGGCCGAUGUGCUGACGGGGCUCUGUGUCCCUGUGUCCCCAGUGCUGUCCC
Ficedula albicollis (Collared flycatcher) is the source of this 397-nucleotide long non-coding RNA. RefSeq lists it as uncharacterized. The transcript has 3 exons. Lineage: Eukaryota; Metazoa; Chordata; Aves; Passeriformes; Muscicapidae. The record is from RefSeq and is a predicted model, not a curated record.